RNAcentral lists this ribosomal RNA (468 nucleotides) under uncultured bacterium. Its description in RNAcentral is "partial 16S ribosomal RNA". It matches the Rfam family "Bacterial small subunit ribosomal RNA", at positions 28 to 507 of the family's 1533-position model. The record is from RNAcentral.
GACGAACGCUGGCGGCGUGCUUAACACAUGCAAGUCGAACGGAAGGGCCCUGCUUUUGUGGGGUGCUCGAGUGGCGAACGGGUGAGUAACACGUGAGUAACCUGCCCUUGACUUUGGGAUAACUUCAGGAAACUGGGGCUAAUACCGGAUAGGAGCUCCUGCUGCAUGGUGGGGGUUGGAAAGUUUCGGCGGUUGGGGAUGGACACGCGGCUUAUCAGCUUGUUGGUGGGGUAGUGGCUUACCAAGGCUUUGACGGGUAGCCGGCCUGAGAGGGUGACCGGCCACAUUGGGACUGAGAUACGGCCCAGACUCCUACGGGAGGCAGCAGUGGGGAAUAUUGCACAAUGGGCGGAAGCCUGAUGCAGCAACGCCGCGUGCGGGAUGACGGCCUUCGGGUUGUAAACCGCUUUCGCCUGUGACGAAGCGUGAGUGACGGUAAUGGGUAAAGAAGCACCGGCUAACUACGUG